RNAcentral lists this ribosomal RNA (253 nucleotides) under uncultured bacterium. RNAcentral describes it as "partial 16S ribosomal RNA". It matches the Rfam family "Bacterial small subunit ribosomal RNA", at positions 524 to 776 of the family's 1533-position model. The record is from RNAcentral.
UACGUAGGGUGCGAGCGUUGUCCGGAAUUAUUGGGCGUAAAGGGCUCGUAGGUGGUCUGUUGCGUCGGUAGUGAAAACUCAGGGCUUAACCCUGAGCCUGCUUCCGAUACGGGCAGACUAGAGGUAUGCAGGGGAGAACGGAAUUCCUGGUGUAGCGGUGAAAUGCGCAGAUAUCAGGAGGAACACCGGUGGCGAAGGCGGUUCUCUGGGCAUUACCUGACGCUGAGGAGCGAAAGUGUGGGGAGCGAACAGG